GAACUUGAGAAAACGAGAGAAUUUGGAAGUUGUUCGCGAGAGACUGAAAAUGACAUAAGAGAGCGAAUGGCUGGCCCCUCCUCUAUUUAUACUCAUCCGAGCAUUUAAUGCUCACUCUGUCCUAGGCGGCGCAUCGGUUAACGGGAUUCGCCAGCUGUUUCUGACAUUUCCCAAGAAUAUUCUAGAUACCUCACAAAGAGAUCGGCUAGGUAAGGAUCGGCGGAUUAAAAGGGAUAUUUUGAAUUGCAGAUCGGAUAAGUGUCAUUCAGG
Molecule: unclassified non-coding RNA, 270 nt
Filed under: Hevea brasiliensis (rubber tree)
Lineage: Eukaryota; Viridiplantae; Streptophyta; Magnoliopsida; Malpighiales; Euphorbiaceae
Source: RNAcentral